AGAGUACUACAAGACCGGAAAACCAGGACUUGGCAGAGACAGAAUGGAAACCAUCCUGAAACGCCUGGAAGUGCCCAGUGAUUUUUUUUAAAACCUCGGCAGCUUGCUAACUAAACAGCUGUCAAAAAAAAAAAAAAAAAAAAAA
RNAcentral lists this non-coding RNA (145 nucleotides) under Ctenophora environmental sample. The record is from RNAcentral. Lineage: Eukaryota; Metazoa; Ctenophora.